Long non-coding RNA from Paramisgurnus dabryanus, 967 nucleotides. RefSeq lists it as uncharacterized. Lineage: Eukaryota; Metazoa; Chordata; Actinopteri; Cypriniformes; Cobitidae. The record is from RefSeq and is a predicted model, not a curated record.
UAGUUUGGUGAAAGUUCACACUGAGUGCUUCAAAUCAUUCAGAAGAGAUGCUGUUUUUAGGGCAGUUCAUUAAAGAAGACCUGACAUGGAUGACUUCCAAUGAGAAACGACUGCUAAUACUUAUAUAAAUUCAUUACAGAAGGACCCUACCAGACUAUAUUUGAAUACGGCAUACCCAUGAAUUCUGGAACUGUUAUUCCUUAACCCAGUUUGGAGGAUAAGCGCUUACCAACUAGUUAUAAAUAUGCUGAGGUGAUGUAUUGCAAAAUAGCCAACAUACAACAAUAUGGAUGACCCUCUGUCUGGUCAACAGGAGUUUCAAUAUGGACGGGACAGUUAUGUGGCAGCUCUUCCCUGGCUCAUUCACCUCUUGCCUUUCCUUUGUGAAAGGAAGAAAGAAGAAAGAGGGUCAAUGUGCAACUGAAGCUACUGAUUGUGCUGUGUGAUGAGCAUCAAUCCAUGCUUUGAGGUGGAUGGAUCAGCACAGCCCUGCCUGCUCUGCGUUGGGAACAGAAGUUGCAUCCAGAAUUUUUGCAUCAUUCUGGACCAAAAAGCCAUUCCCUCCAUGAUGAAGACCACUGAUGCAGCCUUCCACUUCCAUCAUGAGUAAAACAACUACAGAACUAAAUACCAGGUUGGAACGUAUUUAAGAAAAAUGAAACGUCUUUUGAAUUGAAAUGUCUGUUUUGCUAUGGAAAAAUCUUUAGUAUUGUGAAGGACAAGCAUUUCUGCCUGCCAGUAAGGUAAUUGCAGUGUAUUUUAAUGUUCAAGUUUUGAGUAGGGUGGCUAAUUUUUUUUAAACUCUCAUUUGAUAUAUUAAAGACCUUAUAAUAAGUGGUUUUCAUGUCACUGCGCUGUGGUAUAAGAUAACUUUCAUUAUUCCAUACUGUAUUCUGUUUCUAAUUGUAGCUGAGGUAUUUAAAUAAGCAGUAUUAAAUGCAAAGUGUUGUGUGUAUCAAUGUAAAUA